This 759-nucleotide ribosomal RNA is filed under the name uncultured Prevotella sp. Its description in RNAcentral is "bacterial SSU rRNA". It matches the Rfam family "Bacterial small subunit ribosomal RNA", at positions 28 to 776 of the family's 1533-position model. Lineage: Bacteria; Pseudomonadati; Bacteroidota; Bacteroidia; Bacteroidales; Prevotellaceae. The record is from RNAcentral.
GAUGAACGCUAGCUACAGGCUUAACACAUGCAAGUCGCGGGGCAGCAUGGGGGUUGCUUGCAAUCCCCGAUGGCGACCGGCGCACGGGUGAGUAACGCGUAUCCAACCUGCCCUUCACCACGGGAUAACCCGGCGAAAGUCGGACUAAUACCGUAUGUUGUCCAUUGACGGCAUCCGAUUUGGACGAAAGGUUUGGCGGUGAAGGAUGGGGAUGCGUCCGAUUAGCUUGACGGCGGGGUAACGGCCCACCGUGGCGACGAUCGGUAGGGGUUCUGAGAGGAAGGUCCCCCACACUGGAACUGAGACACGGUCCAGACUCCUACGGGAGGCAGCAGUGAGGAAUAUUGGUCAAUGGGCGUAAGCCUGAACCAGCCAAGUAGCGUGCAGGAUGACGGCCCUAUGGGUUGUAAACUGCUUUUAUGCGGGGAUAAAGGAGCCCACGUGUGGGUUUUUGCAGGUACCGCAUGAAUAAGGACCGGCUAAUUCCGUGCCAGCAGCCGCGGUAAUACGGAAGGUCCGGGCGUUAUCCGGAUUUAUUGGGUUUAAAGGGAGCGUAGGCCGCGCCUUAAGCGUGUUGUGAAAUCCGGGUGCUCAACAUCCGGCUUGCAGCGCGAACUGGGGCGCUUGAGUGCGCAGAAAGUAGGCGGAAUUCGUGGUGUAGCGGUGAAAUGCUUAGAUAUCACGAGGAACUCCGAUUGCGAAGGCAGCCUACUGUAGCGCUACUGACGCUGAUGCUCGAAAGCGUGGGUAUCGAACAGG